GCUACCGCUAUUGGAGUUCGAUUAAGCCAUGCGAGUCGUGAGUCCUAGGGACUCGGCAUACCGCUCAGUAACACGUGGGUAACCUGCCCUAUGCUGGGGAAUAACCUCGGGAAACUGAGAAUAAUGCCCCAUAGUUCACCACACCUGGAACGGUGGGUGGAUGAAAGCUCCGGCGGCAUAGGAUGGGCCUGCGGCGUAUCAGGUUGUAGGGGGUGUAAUGUACCCUCCAGCCAUCUACGCGUACGGGUGUUGAGAGACAUCGCCCGGAGAUGGAUUCCGAGACACGAAUCCAGACCCUACGGGGUGCAGCAGGCGCGAAAACUUGGCAAUGCGAGCAAUCGUGACCAGGGAACUCCAAGUGCAUCGGGUAAGACCGAUGCUUUUCUUGACUCUUCAAAGGUCUUGGAAUAAGGGGUGGGUAAGGACGGUGCCAGCCGCCGCGGUAAUACCGGCGCCUCAAGUGGUAGUCGCUUUUAUUGGGCCUAAAACGUCCGUAGCCGGUUUGGUACAUUCGUGGGUAAAUCAAGACGCUCAACGUCUUGAAUUCUGCGAGCACGGCCAGACUUGGGACCGGGUGAGGUGUGGGGUACUCUCAGGGUAGGGGUAAAAUCCUGUCAUCCUGAGAGGACCACCUGUUGCGAAGGCGCCACACUAGAACGGAUCCGACGGUCAGGGACGAAGCCUAAGGGGCACGAACCGGAUUAGAUACCCGGGUAGUCCUAGGUGUAAACGCUGUGGACUUGAUGUUGGGAGUGCUCCGAGCACCCUCAGUGUCGAAGCGAAGGUGAUAAGUCCACUGCCUGGGGAGUACGGUCGCAAGGCUGAAACUUAAAGGAAUUGGCGGGGGAGCACUGCAACCUGAGGAUUGUGCGGUUUAAUUGGAUUCAACGCCGGA
This 895-nucleotide ribosomal RNA is filed under the name uncultured marine archaeon TS235C302. Its description in RNAcentral is "bacterial SSU rRNA". It matches the Rfam family "Archaeal small subunit ribosomal RNA", at positions 23 to 922 of the family's 1478-position model. The record is from RNAcentral.